Molecule: ribosomal RNA, 254 nt
Filed under: Vibrio parahaemolyticus
Lineage: Bacteria; Pseudomonadati; Pseudomonadota; Gammaproteobacteria; Vibrionales; Vibrionaceae
Description: partial 16S ribosomal RNA
Rfam family: Bacterial small subunit ribosomal RNA
Source: RNAcentral
CUUAAAUUGAAGAGUUUGAUCAUGGCUCAGAUUGAACGCUGGCGGCAGGCCUAACACAUGCAAGUCGAGCGGAAACGAGUUAUCUGAACCUUCGGGGGACGAUAGCGGCGUCGAGCGGCGGACGGGUGAGUAAUGCCUAGGAAAUUGCCCUGAUGUGGGGGAUAACCAUUGGAAACGAUGGCUAAUACCGCAUGAUGCCUACGGGCCAAAGAGGGGGACCUUCGGGCCUCUCGCGUCAGGAUAUGCCUAGGUGG